UAUAUAAUUAAGAAAUAGCUAAAAUACAUAUUAUACGAUAUCUUGUGUAUUACAACGAACUUUAAAGCUUAAAUGACAAUUCAGAUGUCACUUUCUAUGAAAACAAUUGCAUAAAUGACAAUUCAGAUAUUAGCUCCAUAGCUGGCUCCAUUCAUGUAAAAGUGAAACUGAUCUGCUGCAGAUGGAUUAUUUCUUCUUUGGCUUAUUUAAUUAUUAUGUUAAAGGCCAUAUAUUCUCUCUUUUUCUCUGUUUUUCUUUUCAAUUUCACUAGUCAUUCAAUAGCCAUUUGUUGUCACUCAAAUACUGGAAGUCUCAACUUUCUCUCAAGUCUCUAGUCUCAACCAUUUUCUCACGAUUCUCAAACU
RNAcentral lists this unclassified non-coding RNA (365 nucleotides) under Hevea brasiliensis (rubber tree). Lineage: Eukaryota; Viridiplantae; Streptophyta; Magnoliopsida; Malpighiales; Euphorbiaceae. The record is from RNAcentral.